GUGAACCUGCGGAAGGAUCAUUAUUGAAAUAAACCUGCUGGGUUGUUGCUGGCUCUCYAGGGAGCAUGUGCACGCCUUGUCAUCUUUAUAUCUCCACCUGUGCACUUUUUGUAGACAUCUUUCNCAGGUGUCUAUGUUGACCCUUCAUUUGCCCCCCAAUGUAUGUCAAUAGAAUGUUGUGUCCAUGAUAAUAAAAUCUAUACAACUUUCAGCAACGGAUCUCUUGGCUCUCGCAUCGAUGAAGAACGCAGCGAAAUGCGAUAAGUAAUGUGAAUUGCAGAAUUCAGUGAAUCAUCGAAUCUUUGAACGCACCUUGCGCUCCUUGGUAUUCCGAGGAGCAUGCCUGUUUGAGUGUCAUUAAUAUUAUAUAUCGAACCCUCUCUUUUGUUGAGUGGUUUGGAUGUGGGGUUUGCUGGCCUCUUGAAGAGGUCAGCUUCCCUGAAAUGCAUUAGCAGAACAACCUGUUCGUUCAUUGGUGUGAUAACUAUCUACGCUAUUGAACGGUGAAGGCAAGUUCAGCUUCCUAACCGUCUUUGGACAAUUUAUCAUCUAUAUGUGACCUCAAAUCAGGUAGGACUA
RNAcentral lists this ribosomal RNA (579 nucleotides) under Cortinarius caesiobrunneus. RNAcentral describes it as "eukaryotic LSU rRNA". The stretch from base 204 to 357 matches the Rfam family "5.8S ribosomal RNA". Lineage: Eukaryota; Fungi; Basidiomycota; Agaricomycetes; Agaricales; Cortinariaceae. The record is from RNAcentral.